AUGUGCUACGCGGGCCGAGCUUAUAAAGGGGCCGAACAAAAUGUCCAGAGUAUACACGGAUCUAGGCCUACCGCACAGGCCUCCAGCGACACUCACGCUCGCUCCCCACGAAUGUCGCGUGCGGCCACCAGAAUAUUCCCGACGCCGUCGUUGCUCCCACUUCCACUUUCCAAGUGGCUGCGUAGGCGGCGGCCAAGCAUCUGCCCAGCGAGGAGAACCUUCGCGAUGGCGGCGUCCGGAUUCGGAGGCGGCGAGGCGUUCCGGCUGUCGGCUGCGGCGGGGGCCGGCGCGCUGAAGCUGCACAAGGGCGACAUCACCCUCUGGUCCGUCGACGGCGCCACCGACGCUAUCGUCAAUGCUGCUAAUGAACGAAUGCUAGGAGGGGGAGGUGUUGAUGGAGCUAUACAUCAAGCUGCUGGACCACAGCUUGUACAAGCAUGCCGUGAAGUUCCAGAGGUUAAACCUGGAGUCCGUUGCCCUACUGGAGAAGCUAGAAUUACUCCAGCUUUUGAGCUUCCCGUGUCCUGUGUGAUCCAUACAGUUGGGCCCAUAUAUGAUAUGGACAGGAAGCCUGAGGUGUCACUAAAGAAUGCAUACGAAAAUAGCUUAAAGGUUGCUAAAGAGAAUGGCAUUCAGUACGUUGCAUUCCCUGCUAUAUCUUGUGGUAUUUUCCGUUACCCUCCAAAGGAAGCAUCAAACAUAGCUAUUUCAGCUGCUCAACAAUUUUCAGGGGAUAUUAAAGAGGUGCAUUUUGUUCUGUUCUCGGAUGAGCUCUACAACGUUUGGCGUGGGACUGCCCAGGAGAUGCUGACGCAAUUUGAGAAAUGA
This 828-nucleotide ribosomal RNA is filed under the name Triticum aestivum (bread wheat). Its description in RNAcentral is "partial small subunit ribosomal RNA". The record is from RNAcentral. Lineage: Eukaryota; Viridiplantae; Streptophyta; Magnoliopsida; Poales; Poaceae.